This 378-nucleotide ribosomal RNA is filed under the name uncultured eukaryote. RNAcentral's name for it is "partial 18S ribosomal RNA". It matches the Rfam family "Eukaryotic small subunit ribosomal RNA", at positions 592 to 976 of the family's 1831-position model. The record is from RNAcentral.
CAAUAGCGUAUAUUAAAGUUGUUGCGGUUAAAAAGCUCGUAGUUGGAUUUCUGUUGAGGAAGGCCGGUCCGCACUAUGUGCGUGUAUCUGGUUCUGCCUCGGCAUCCUCUCGAAUGCCGGGCUGCGCUUAAUUGCAUGGGUCGGACUCGGGACUUUUACUUUGAGGAAAUUAGAGUGUUCACGGCAGGCAAGCGCCAUGAAUAUAUUAGCAUGGAAUAAUGAUAUAGGAUCUUGGUCCUAUUUUGUUGGUUUCUAGGGCUAAGAUAAUGAUUAAUAGGGACAAUUGGGGGCAUUCGUAUUAACGCGUCAGAGGUGGAAUUCUUGGAUUGCGUUACGACGAACUACUGCGAAAGCAUUUGCCAAGGAUGUUUUCAUUGA